This is a long non-coding RNA of Oncorhynchus nerka (sockeye salmon), 272 nucleotides long. RefSeq lists it as uncharacterized. The transcript has 2 exons. NCBI's taxonomy places the organism in Eukaryota, Metazoa, Chordata, Actinopteri, Salmoniformes, Salmonidae. The record is from RefSeq and is a predicted model, not a curated record.
GACAAACCAGAUGUGAGUGAGAUCGCUCAGUUUGACAUGACUAAACUGAAGAAGACUGAGACUGAGGAGAACACUCUACCUACCAAAGAGGCCGUUCUUCUCAACUACAGUCAUUGACCAGGAGAAGCAGGUGGAAUCCUAAAAUGGCUGCUGUCAUUACUCACAAGCUACAUCCCAGAGGGACUGUUUCUCAAACCUGAACUCUCCUCCAUUCUGGGCCUGAUCCUCAUGGCUGCCUAAGUCACUGACUCAAUAAAAGCCAUGUAGACUAA